Molecule: long non-coding RNA, 1273 nt
Organism: Nomascus leucogenys (northern white-cheeked gibbon)
Lineage: Eukaryota; Metazoa; Chordata; Mammalia; Primates; Hylobatidae
Exons: 4
Source: RefSeq, a predicted model, not a curated record
ACGUGGGAAGGGUAUGGAUGAUUUUUUUUUCUCCUCAUCUGGGAAUCUCCAUCGUGGAUAGCAAUCGCUUCUAGAGCUCUCCUGGGAAGCUCCUCUGGGGAAGGGGCUAUGCCCCUCCACCCCCUACUUUCCACAGCAUGUAGGGAAUCUGAUCAAUGGAGACAUUCAGCUCUAAGAAUACAACCACUCCAACGCCUUCUGCUCGGGGAGACUGCGAGGAGCUUGCAACAGGCAGAGACAGAUGGGAGUUAACGGGAGGGAGGGAGAAUAUAAGAAAUAUUUGGGUAUUUUUCUGAUUUGAAAAACAUUUUCUGCAGUUAUGCAAGUGAGUCUGGUGGUGCAGGAAAAAAAAAAAGUGAGGAGGGGGCGUUUAAUGCACAUUUAAUGUUUUGGAAGUAAGGUUCCAGCGAAAUGCCUUUGUGUGUGGAGGUUUUUUCAGUACUUGCUAAAAAUAGCAUCAGGGUUUGAUCGUGUUCCAGAAAUAAACCGAGGGCUGUACUGGGAUAAAAAGCCAGCGCGGGUGGAAGAAAACCUGGACAUCACCGCAUUCCUCCCCCCACAACUAUGUCUGGAAAUUAAUUGUUGGAUUUUUCCUCUCUUCUCUCCUCUUUCCAUCCACUUUCUCUUUCCUCCCCCUAUGUUUCUCUUUCUCUCUCUUAAGGAGUUCCCGUUUGGGUGGUCAAACCUGUCCUGACACCCAGAGGUCUGCAUGAGGGGUGGCCACUGAAGGAGGAGCUCUCAAAGGCCACAGGUGAUGAAGAGCUUGGAUGAAUGAACUUAGAAGUCCCAGGAAAAUAGCAAAAAUUUCAUCUCCUGAAGAAAUUUGAAGAUUUUUUGGGAUAUUCUUUUAAAGGUGAAACUUCUUCUUUAGGAUUGGACAACUGAAUUUAAAGGCAAGUUAAAGUUCAAUAUUUUGAACUAUGUUUAAAUGAAGAUGAGCGAGAAGACAGAACUGUUAAAAGGUUUUAUUUUACAGCCAAGUGAAGGAUUCAGCUGUGUCCCAAAGGAUUAAACAAGAUGGUAUGCUUAAUAAUUCCUCGCUUCUGUGAAAUUCUCUGAUUAUGAAGUGUACUUUCAUUCUAUAGAACUACUCCUGAUUUCAUCAGGAAACUCAGAUCUGAAACUCAAUUUACAGAAAUAUUAAAAAUGAAUUUUCAACUAAAUGGGAAUAUUUGUGUACUAAUAUGAUACAAUAUUGUUGCUUCAUUUUUUCAUAUUAAAUACCAUUCUAAACUCUAAAUUUGUUAAUAAAUGAAGCAGAAAUCUAAUGUGA